Molecule: ribosomal RNA, 253 nt
Filed under: uncultured bacterium
Lineage: Bacteria
Description: partial 16S ribosomal RNA
Rfam family: Bacterial small subunit ribosomal RNA
Source: RNAcentral
UACAGAGGGGGCAAGCGUUGUUCGGAAUUACUGGGCGUAAAGGGCGCGUAGGCGGCCCGCUAAGUCGAACGUGAAAUCCCCGGGCUUAACCCGGGAACUGCGUCCGAUACUGGCAGGCUUGAAUCCGGGAGAGGGAUGUGGAAUUCCAGGUGUAGCGGUGAAAUGCGUAGAUAUCAGGAGGAACACCGAUGGCGAAGGCAGGUCUCUGGGCCACUACUGACGCUGAGAAGCGAAAGCAUGGGGAGCGAACAGG